RNAcentral lists this small RNA (370 nucleotides) under Pan troglodytes (chimpanzee). RNAcentral describes it as "processed transcript". Lineage: Eukaryota; Metazoa; Chordata; Mammalia; Primates; Hominidae. The record is from RNAcentral.
AGGCAAUGGAUUAAUGGAGACUCUAGACAUUUGUUUCCUCACCAGUGAAAAUUAAAUGAAGACCCAGGAAUCACUACAGCUAUGGGGAUGAGAAGGACAUUUCAGCAGCUAGAGUGUGGUGGCCUCCUUAGCAGCUUCUUUUUCCAUCAAGAAAAUAUUUCUGGACAAAAACAAACCCAUAGCUGGUUGGAAGCAGGGCAUUGGGCCCAGUGUUAAAGAUUUGAAUAAGAAAGAUGCAGAAGAUAUUAAUCAUAGGCUUAUCAAUGCUCCUAGGAGAUCUGUCCCCCUGAUUGAAGCAACUCUGGCCUUUGGAAGUUCAUAUCCAAGAAGUAUGAUAUCAAUCUUAUUUUUAAAUAAAGUAAAAAUUUGA